RNAcentral lists this ribosomal RNA (383 nucleotides) under uncultured bacterium. RNAcentral's name for it is "bacterial SSU rRNA". It matches the Rfam family "Bacterial small subunit ribosomal RNA", at positions 376 to 774 of the family's 1533-position model. The record is from RNAcentral.
CGCAAGCCUGACGGAGCAACGCCGCGUGAGGGAUGAAGGCCUCUGGGCUGUAAACCUCUUUUCUCAAGGAAGAAGAUCUGACGGUACUUGAGGAAUAAGCCACGGCUAAUUCCGUGCCAGCAGCCGCGGUAAUACGGGAGUGGCAAGCGUUAUCCGGAAUUAUUGGGCGUAAAGCGUCCGCAGGCGGCCUUGAAAGUCUGUCGUUAAAGCGUGGAGCUUAACUCCAUUUCGGCGGUGGAAACUACAAGGCUUGAGUGUGGUAGGGGCAGAGGGAAUUCCCGGUGUAGCGGUGAAAUGCGUAGAUAUCGGGAAGAACACCGGUGGCGAAGGCGCUCUGCUGGGCCAUAACUGACGCUCAUGGACGAAAGCCAGGGGAGCGAAAG